This 501-nucleotide ribosomal RNA is filed under the name [Candida] sp. AA-M17. Its description in RNAcentral is "eukaryotic LSU rRNA". It matches the Rfam family "Eukaryotic large subunit ribosomal RNA", at positions 63 to 670 of the family's 3401-position model. Lineage: Eukaryota; Fungi; Ascomycota; Saccharomycetes; Saccharomycetales. The record is from RNAcentral.
AACCGGGGCAUGCCUCAGUACGGCGAGUGAGCGAGCAACAGCUCAAAUUUGAAAGCCCGCGGGCGUUGUAAUUUGCAGGCGGAUGUUUUGGGGCGGGCGCUGUCUACGUUCCUUGGAACAGGACGCCGCAGAGGGUGAGAGCCCCGUGCGAUGGCGCCUCCAACCGCGUAAAACUCCGCCGACGAGUCGAGUUGUUUGGGAAUGCAGCUCCAAGUGGGUGGUAAAUUCCAUCUAAAGCUAAAUACUGGCGAGAGACCGAUAGCGAACAAGUACAGUGAUGGAAAGAUGAAAAGCACUUUGAAAAGAGAGUGAAACAGCACGUGAAAUUGUUGAAAGGGAAGGGUAUGCGAUUAGCGGCCAGCAGGAGGUGCCUUCUCGUGAAAAGGCCGUGCACCGUCUUCGGACACCGUGCGCGGAGAUGGCGAGGGGGCGCCUGAGGUCUGCGACUCGAGGUUGCUGGCGUAAUGAUUGCAUACCACCCGUCUUAACACACGUUCCAAU